Molecule: transfer RNA, 63 nt
Filed under: Metalysinibacillus jejuensis
Lineage: Bacteria; Bacillati; Bacillota; Bacilli; Caryophanales; Caryophanaceae
Rfam family: tRNA
About the family: Transfer RNA (tRNA) molecules are approximately 80 nucleotides in length. Their secondary structure includes four short double-helical elements and three loops (D, anti-codon, and T loops). Further hydrogen bonds mediate the characteristic L-shaped molecular structure. tRNAs have two regions of fundamental functional importance: the anti-codon, which is responsible for specific mRNA codon recognition, and the 3' end, to which the tRNAs corresponding amino acid is attached (by aminoacyl-tRNA synthetases). tRNAs cope with the degeneracy of the genetic code in two manners: having more than one tRNA (with a specific anti-codon) for a particular amino acid; and 'wobble' base-pairing, i.e. permitting non-standard base-pairing at the 3rd anti-codon position.
Source: RNAcentral
AUUAGCUCAGUUGGUAGAGCACCUGACUUUUAAUCAGGGGGUCGCAGGUUCGAAUCCUGCAUG